This 252-nucleotide ribosomal RNA is filed under the name uncultured bacterium. Its description in RNAcentral is "partial 16S ribosomal RNA". It matches the Rfam family "Bacterial small subunit ribosomal RNA", at positions 524 to 776 of the family's 1533-position model. The record is from RNAcentral.
UACGUAAGGUCUGAGCGUUGUCCGGAAUCAUUGGGCGUAAAGGGUACGUAGGCGGAUAAGCAAGUUAGAAGUGAAAGGCUAUAGCUCAACUGUAGGAAGCUGUGAAAACUGUUUAACUUGAGAGAUGGAAGGGAAAGUGGAAUUCCUAGUGUAGCGGUGAAAUGCGCAGAUAUUAGGAGGAAUACCGGUGGCGAAGGCGACUUUCUGGACAUCAACUGACGCUGAGGUACGAAAGCGUGGGUAGCAAACAGG